UUCAGACCCAGCAGCUCCAUGCAG
Molecule: non-coding RNA, 24 nt
Filed under: Cricetulus griseus (Chinese hamster)
Lineage: Eukaryota; Metazoa; Chordata; Mammalia; Rodentia; Cricetidae
Source: RNAcentral